This 889-nucleotide ribosomal RNA is filed under the name Penicillium sp. 25 BRO-2013. Its description in RNAcentral is "eukaryotic LSU rRNA". The stretch from base 643 to 889 matches the Rfam family "Eukaryotic large subunit ribosomal RNA", at positions 1 to 244 of the family's 3401-position model. The record is from RNAcentral. Lineage: Eukaryota; Fungi; Ascomycota; Eurotiomycetes; Eurotiales; Aspergillaceae.
GAUGGCUCAGUGAGGCCUUCGGACUGGCUCAGGAGGGUUGGCAACGACCCCCCAGAGCCGGAAAGUUGGUCAAACUCGGUCAUUUAGAGGAAGUAAAAGUCGUAACAAGGUUUCCGUAGGUGAACCUGCGGAAGGAUCAUUACCGAGUGAGGGCCCUCUGGGUCCAACCUCCCACCCGUGUUUAACGAACCUUGUUGCUUCGGCGGGCCCGCCUCACGGCCGCCGGGGGGCAUCCGCCCCCGGGCCCGCGCCCGCCGAAGACACCUGUGAACACUGUCUGAAGUUGCAGUCUGAGAAACUAGCUAAAUUAGUUAAAACUUUCAACAACGGAUCUCUUGGUUCCGGCAUCGAUGAAGAACGCAGCGAAAUGCGAUAAAUAAUGUGAAUUGCAGAAUUCAGUGAAUCAUCGAGUCUUUGAACGCACAUUGCGCCCUCUGGUAUUCCGGAGGGCAUGCCUGUCCGAGCGUCAUUGCUGCCCUCAAGCACGGCUUGUGUGUUGGGCCCCCGUCCCCCCGCCAGGGGGGACGGGCCCGAAAGGCAGCGGCGGCACCGCGUCCGGUCCUCGAGCGUAUGGGGCUCUGUCACCCGCUCUUGUAGGCCCGGCCGGCGCCAGCCGACCCCCCUCAAUCUAUUUUUUCAGGUUGACCUCGGAUCAGGUAGGGAUACCCGCUGAACUUAAGCAUAUCAAUAAGCGGAGGAAAAGAAACCAACCGGGAUUGCCCUAGUAACGGCGAGUGAAGCGGCAAGAGCUCAAAUUUGAAAGCUGGCCCCCUCGGGGUCCGCAUUGUAAUUUGCAGAGGAUGCUUCGGGAGCGGUCCCCAUCUAAGUGCCCUGGAACGGGCCGUCAUAGAGGGUGAGAAUCCCGUAUGGGAUGGGGUGCCCGCGCCCG